CCUACGGGAGGCAGCAGUGGGGAAUCUUGCGCAAUGGCCGAGAGGCUGACGCAGCGACGCCGCGUGGGGGAUGAAGCAUUUCGGUGUGUAAACCCCUGUUGCUCGGGACGAACGACCCUUUUCGAGGGGUGUGACGGUACCGAGUGAGGAAGCACCGGCUAACUCCGUGCCAGCAGCCGCGGUAAUACGGAGGGUGCAAGCGUUGUCCGGAAUCACUGGGCGUAAAGGGCGCGUAGGUGGUUGGAUGCGCCGGUGGUGAAAGCGCAGGGCUCAACCCUGCGUCGGCCAUCGGGACGGUCCGACUGGAGCACUGUAGAGGCAGGUGGAAUUCCGGGUGUAGCGGUGGAAUGCGUAGAGAUCCGGAAGAACACCGGUGGCGAAGGCGGCCUGCUGGGCAGUUGCUGACACUGAGGCGCGACAGCGUGGGGAGCAAACAGGAUUAGAUACCCUGGUAGUCCACGCCGUAAACGAUGGGCACUAGGUGCUUGGGGGAGCGACCCCCUGAGUGCCGACGCUAACGCAUUAAGUGCCCCGCCUGGGGAGUACGACCGCAAGGUUGAAACUCAAAGGAAUUGACGGCUGAGACGNGCGAGACGACGACGAGGGAGAGG
Molecule: ribosomal RNA, 611 nt
Filed under: uncultured bacterium
Lineage: Bacteria
Description: bacterial SSU rRNA
Rfam family: Bacterial small subunit ribosomal RNA
Source: RNAcentral